GGAGGAAAAUCUAAGUCUCUGAUUACACACCAUGUGAUUCAGAAAGAGACAGAGGAAGGGGAUGUUUCUAAAUGACACCAAAGAAGAUGUAUUUGUACAUCAGACUGCCAUCAAGAAGAAUAACCCACGGAAAUAUCUGCGUAGUGUAGGAGAUGGAGAAACUGUAGAGUUUGAUGUGGUUGAAGGAGAGAAGGGUGCAGAAGCUGCCAAUGUGACUGGCCCGGAUGGAGUUCCUGUGGAAGGGAGUCGUUACGCUGCAGAUCGGCGCCGUUACAGACGUGGCUACUAUGGAAGGCGCCGUGGCCCACCCCGGAAUUACGCUGGGGAGGAGGAGGAGGAAGGGAGCGGCAGCAGUGAAGGAUUUGACCCCCCUGCCACUGAUAGGCAGUUCUCUGGGGCCCGGAAUCAGCUGCGCCGCCCCCAGUAUCGCCCUCAGUACCGGCAGCGGCGGUUCCCGCCUUACCACGUGGGACAGACCUUUGACCGUCGCUCACGGGUCUUACCCCAUCCCAACAGAAUACAGGCUGGUGAGAUUGGAGAGAUGAAGGAUGGAGUCCCGGAGGGAGCACAACUUCAGGGACCGGUUCAUCGAAAUCCAACUUACCGCCCAAGGUACCGUAGGUAUGUCGCAUUUUCCACUAAUGGCCAG
RNAcentral lists this small RNA (649 nucleotides) under Pongo abelii (Sumatran orangutan). RNAcentral describes it as "processed transcript". Lineage: Eukaryota; Metazoa; Chordata; Mammalia; Primates; Hominidae. The record is from RNAcentral.